Molecule: ribosomal RNA, 468 nt
Filed under: uncultured bacterium
Lineage: Bacteria
Description: partial 16S ribosomal RNA
Rfam family: Bacterial small subunit ribosomal RNA
Source: RNAcentral
GACGAACGCUGGCGGCGUGCUUAACACAUGCAAGUCGAACGGAAAGGCCCUGCUUUUGUGGGGUGCUCGAGUGGCGAACGGGUGAGUAACACGUGAGUAACCUGCCCUUGACUUUGGGAUAACUUCAGGAAACUGGGGCUAAUACCGGAUAGGAGCUCCUGCUGCAUGGUGGGGGUUGGAAAGUUUCGGCGGUUGGGGAUGGACUCGCGGCUUAUCAGCUUGUUGGUGGGGUAGUGGCUUACCAAGGCUUUGACGGGUAGCCGGCCUGAGAGGGUGACCGGCAACAUGGGAAGGGAGAUGCGGCCCGGCCUCCGACGGGGGGCAGGGGUGGGGAAUAUUGCACAGGGGGGGGAGGCCGGACGCAGCACCGCCGCGUGGGGGAUGGCGGCUGGCGGUGUGAAACCCUGUUUCGCCGGUAAAGAAGGGUGGGGGGGGGAAAGGGAAAAAGAAGCACCGGCUAACAAGGGC